Molecule: ribosomal RNA, 366 nt
Filed under: uncultured bacterium
Lineage: Bacteria
Description: bacterial SSU rRNA
Rfam family: Bacterial small subunit ribosomal RNA
Source: RNAcentral
GGGGGGGGCAAGCGUUGUUCGGAAUUACUGGGCGUAAAGGGCUCGUAGGCGGCCAACUAAGUCAGACGUGAAAUCCCCAGGCUCAACCUGGGAACUGCGUCUGAUACUGGAUGGCUUGAAUCCGGGAGAGGGAUGCAGAAUUCCAGGUGUAGCGGUGAAAUGCGUAGAUAUCUGGAGGAAUACCGGUGGCGAAGGCGGCAUCCUGGACCGGCAUUGACGCUGAGGAGCGAAAGCCAGGGGAGCAAACGGGAUUAGAUACCCCGGUAGUCCUGGCCCUAAACGAUGAAUGCUUGGUGCAACGGGUAUCGAUCCCUGUUGUGCCGAAGCUAACGCAUUAAGCAUUCCGCCUGGGGAGUACGGUCGCAA